AUUGAACGCUGGCGGCGUGCCUAACACAUGCAAGUCGAGCGGUAACAGGUGUAGCAAUACAUGCUGACGAGCGGCGGACGGGUGAGUAACGCUUGGGAAUCUGCCUAUUAGUGGGGGACAACCCGGGGAAACGUACGGGCUAAUACCGCAUACGCUCUACGGAGGAAAGACCGGGGACCGGCAAGGCCUGGCGCUAAUAGAUGAGCCCAAGUCGGAUUAGCUAGUUGGUAGGGUAAUGGCCUACCAAGGCGACGAUCCGUAACUAGGUCUGAGAGGACGACCAGUCACACCGGAACUG
RNAcentral lists this ribosomal RNA (298 nucleotides) under uncultured bacterium. RNAcentral describes it as "partial 16S ribosomal RNA". It matches the Rfam family "Bacterial small subunit ribosomal RNA", at positions 30 to 321 of the family's 1533-position model. The record is from RNAcentral.